Molecule: non-coding RNA, 72 nt
Organism: Podarcis lilfordi (Lilford's wall lizard)
Lineage: Eukaryota; Metazoa; Chordata; Lepidosauria; Squamata; Lacertidae
Source: the annotation of a GenBank genome assembly
AGGGAUGUGGCUCAGCUGUAGAGCCUCUGCUUUGCAUAUCGAAGGUCCCAGGUUUAAUCCCUGGCGUCUCCA